UGCUCUACGAUGCGCAUGCCUGCAAAAGCACAUGGAGGAGAGGACGUGAUUUAGCUGCUAGGUAGCAAAUAAUUUUAAGCAACAUCCGAUGUUUAAUAUCUCUGGCGGAGAGAGAACAGUACAAAUAUGAUUGCAAGAGAUGACGCUAAUCGGAAAAUGGGGCAGAGGCUUACGGCAAUAGGUGAUGGCCCUUUGAUGGAUGCAAGUUGGUGCAACUGGCAGGGGGCUUUCAGGGAACAGAUGGGCUGUGUAGCAGGGAGGAGCUGCACAGAUCUGCUAUUGACACUCAACCCCUGACAAUGUGCUGCCGCAGCAGCCCACAGCAGAUGCCUUUGGAGGUGUGUCUUUGUGUGAGAGUCCACAUGGAAGACAUCCCUCUUGCUGAAGCAUGAGACAGCAGCCGCGCAGACCAGAAUGGAGGAUGAUGCCUGUGGACAUCCGCCUGUGUGAGGACCCUGAAACGAGAUGAUGAUGUAGGGGGUCAACCUUGCACCCCCAGGGUUCCCCUGACCUCUGCAUGGGGGGGGUUCCCCUGACCUCUGCCUC
Long non-coding RNA from Engraulis encrasicolus (European anchovy), 546 nucleotides. RefSeq lists it as uncharacterized. The record is from RefSeq and is a predicted model, not a curated record. The transcript is spliced from 3 exons. NCBI's taxonomy places the organism in Eukaryota, Metazoa, Chordata, Actinopteri, Clupeiformes, Engraulidae.